CUAAUACAGACUCACUGUUUCUCAGAGGGGCACACGUCUCAGAAAAAGAAGGAUAUUUAUAUCCCAUCUUCCAGCUCGCUAAUGAAAAGCAUUUCACAUGUUCUAUCUCAGGAACGUAUUAAUUGGCAUAGCUAGAGUUAAUAAGCACAUUAAUGAGUCUCACACCCUUGAGAAGCUGUUGCCUUGACCUUUAAAUAUCCAGCAUCCCUGAC
Non-coding RNA from Pelobates cultripes (western spadefoot toad), 212 nucleotides. NCBI's taxonomy places the organism in Eukaryota, Metazoa, Chordata, Amphibia, Anura, Pelobatidae. The record is from the annotation of a GenBank genome assembly.